RNAcentral lists this transfer RNA (72 nucleotides) under Sphaerodactylus townsendi. Its description in RNAcentral is "tRNA-Ala". The record is from RNAcentral. Lineage: Eukaryota; Metazoa; Chordata; Lepidosauria; Squamata; Sphaerodactylidae.
AGAGGCUAUGGUUCAGUAAUAGGGCAUUUGCUUGGCGUGCAAACGUCCCAGUUUCAAACUCUGGCACCUCCA